Molecule: ribosomal RNA, 561 nt
Filed under: Enterococcus faecium
Lineage: Bacteria; Bacillati; Bacillota; Bacilli; Lactobacillales; Enterococcaceae
Description: partial 23S ribosomal RNA
Rfam family: Bacterial large subunit ribosomal RNA
Source: RNAcentral
GGGUAGGCGCACAUAGCCUGAGAUCCGAAGAUCUCCGAAUGAGGAAACUCACAUGGGAAACCCCAUGUAUCAUUAAGUGAAUACAUAGCUUAAUGAAGGUAACCCAGGGAACUGAAACAUCUAAGUACCUGGAGGAAGAGAAAGAAAAAUCGAUUUUCUUAGUAGCGGCGAGCGAAAGGGAAAUAGCCCAAACCGGAAACUUGUUUCCGGGGUUGAGGACAUAACAUAAAGAGAAGUAAUGGCUAAUUGAAGAGAACUGGAAAGUUCCACCGUAGAAGGUAAUAGUCCUGUAAAUGAAAGCUAGUAUAAUCGAGUUAUGAUCCAGAGUACCACGAGACACGUGAAACCUUGUGGGAAGCAGGGAGGACCACCUCCCAAGGCUAAAUACUACCUGAUGACCGAUAGUGAAGCAGUACCGUGAGGGAAAGGUGAAAAGAACCCCGGGAGGGGAGUGAAAUAGAACCUGAAACCGUGUGCCUACAACCGCUCAGAGCCCCUUAUGAGGGUGAUGAGGUGCUUUUUGUAGAACGAGCCAACGAGUUACGGUAUGUAGCAAGGUUA